This is a long non-coding RNA of Catharus ustulatus (Swainson's thrush), 4058 nucleotides long. The record is from Ensembl. Lineage: Eukaryota; Metazoa; Chordata; Aves; Passeriformes; Turdidae.
AUUAGGUUUAUAAGUAUUUCCUCUACCAUUUCCUGUCAGGAAAACAUGGAAUAUAUCAACAUCUCUAUGUAGAUUUUUUUCCCUUCAGAAAGACACAUAUCUGAGAGGAGGAAAAAAACAUUGAAGCAACAACUUGGGAGCAUUUAGCAUUCAUUGUGAGAUGUGGAAUUUCUUUUGAAAUAAAGCUUUGUACAUUUUAUCUUUUCAUCUACAUCCUGAGCUGCAGAAAUUUGAGGCAGAAUUGAGAACUAUCCUAAAAUAAACAAGCCUUCUCCUGAAUGUGCUUUGUUCUCCAUUUCACCGAGGCUGGAAAAAACUAUGUGUGAAUGAGAUGCAGUCAAAUGAACCUGCAUUUUUUAGUAGCCAGAAUUAAAAAGAAAGGAAAAUUACUGGCUAAGACAGUCCUCAGUUCAGAUUUGAGACAGAGACAUGCAAUGUGUCCUGCCUGUGGAUGGUCACUCACUGAAAAAAAAGUACACCCAGAUGAAAACAAAGUGGUACCUAAUGCCUGAAUGACCAGCUAACUGAACAGGAUUGAUUCAAGAAAGACCUUCAGAGAAACCAGCCAUGGUUUAAUGCCUUAACUUAUGGCACAUGUUGUGUUCCAAGACAGCACAGCACACAUUACUGGAGUCUGGAUUGUUGCAUUACUCCCACCAACUCUUUUGUCCAUGUAGAGUAAAUCUGUGUAUGCAUCACACUGACUAGAGAUUUAAGCCUGGUUUAUUAGAACUCUGUCCACCUGCCUCACCUGGUAUGGGCCAAUAGAUAAAGCUGGUCUUCUGCAACAUGGUGUCUGGGUUUGUCUUCCAUCCAACCAGACUGAGAUCAAUGGAUUUAUUGGGUCCAUUCAUCGCACAAGAAAACUAGAGAUCUCUCAAGCUUCAAAGGUCCUUUAAAAUGAACAGACCACUUUACAGAGGGCUGAGUCCAAAAGUGUUACAAACAAAAGCAAACCAAGUCAUUUAACACUGCCUAUACAGUGCCUUAGUGUAAAUAAAUAUAUCAGCCGAAUUUUCGACUUUCAUGAUGGGUGGAAGUAUUCCAUGUUAAGGCAGUUCAUACUUCUCAACCUUCAGCUUUUUGCAGACAAGAUCAAGACACAUUAAGAGGAAUGAUCAGUGAAUUUCCAUCUGCCUCUUAUUCUCUGCAUCCCUUCUUCAAACGCCAGGGCAUUCAAGAACAAGUGAACCUCAGCUGCCCUAAGGCAAAUGCUGGAAGAGAUUCUCAUGACCUCCAGAUUCUGGCUUAGAUACCUGUAAUCUGGCCACUAUUCACUUCAGCCCAAAAAUGUUUUGUAAAUCUGGCCCAGGCGUGCUUUUGAUAGACCUGUCAGUACUUCAGCUGGAAGGCAAUUGUAAUUUUGAAAUUACUGAAAAUGUGAUAAAAUUAUUUUGCAGCUCACCAGCUUAUAAAUUCAUCAAUUUCCUCCUCAUACAAUUUUUUAUGCAUCACUUACAGUUAAAUUGGUAACAUAGAAAUUAUAGAAAAUUGGCCAACUGAAAAUUGUAUAAACAAUACUAAAUAUGAGCCCUGAUGCUUUCAAAAGAGAAGUCAGUGCUUACUUUGGCUGGGUAGUCAGCAAUUAUUAAAGAGCAAGUAAGGUGAAGAACAGUUGGCACAAGACAGGUAGCAUUCUCCUUUAUGGAUGAUGGGAAUUUCUGUAUACAUGAGAAUGCACAGUACCUACCUCCUACCCCCACAUCUUUCUGCCCCUGUUGCCCUUGUUGAGGGCCUAAAGAAAGGGAAAGAUAUAUUGAAAUCUGAUAUAUGAGGUGUCUAAUUUGGACAGGCUAAAUCCAUUCCGUGCUCCUAUCUGAAAUUUUGACCUAUAUUCUGAAGAUAAAUUAAAUAAAUCUAAAUAACUGAUGAGUUUCUUAGUCCCUAAAUUCUUAGGGAACCUAUCAUAGAAUUCUAGAGGGUUUUUCUUUUUUUUUAGUGACAAAAGCUUAGAAAUAAUGUGGCAUGAAGUUCUCACAGAAGUGUUAUUUCACAUGAGGUUUCUGCCUUGUUCACUUUAACAUACUGGUCAUAUUGCUAAAUACUUUCAUCUUAGUCCUUCAUAAUUUGCAUUCUUUCCUGCACUCCUACAUUUGCUGUUCUCCAGCCUUAGGCACACCAUGUCCUUCAUCUCACUCUCUGCAUGUGUAUUUACUGUACACCAAUCAAUCAAAGAGUCAAGUAAUAACAUCUUUCAUAAACUCCCAGCAUAUCAGUAAAAAAGACCAGCAAAAAAAUCUCGCUAGACAAAAUGAAUAGGUGUACUUAUUCUAUCUGACAAACUAUUUAACUGGCCUAACCUUUACUAGAAGUAAGUGACCCUGACAGCUAAAUACAACCUGGUGGGGGAAAAAAAGUAAUUAAAUAAUCAAAUAAGAGUAUGUAAGAAAUUAAUAGGUGAACACCAUCUCUGCUGAAGGAAUCAGCACUUCCAGACACAUUUUUGUUUUUGCAAAAUGAAAAAUGUACCGGAAAACACUGUAUUCAGCAGAUAAAAAAAGGAUUAAAACAGUCCCUAAAAUUCAACAUUUUAUAGUUUUAUAUGUUGUAGUCUGGCAUGGAGAAGACCCAUUCUAAAUAGUAUUGCUAAUACUUAUCCUCCAAACCCUGAGUACAAAAGCAAUUAUAUUUUUUAUGAUGAACUUCAUAUAGUCCUGGAUUGUGGGAAGAUGCUGGUGGAGAUCCUGAGUAAGAUAUUAUAUUACAUAAGCCUGAAUAUUUUUUUAUAGUUCAUUUAAAAAUAUACAUUAAAUAAAAUUAAGAGCUAUGUACAACACCAAAUAGUUUUCUAAUUCUUUCCUUCCAUGUAGAAGGGAAUGGCUAUCCAUAGUCUUGCCAUUUUUGACUUUCAUUAUUGGAAUAAGGAUGGAUUUAAUUACAUAUCUAGGUGUCAUUAUACUAACUUUAUUUCCUUUUCUGCUUCAGUUUGAGCUUUUUUGAAAAGUGAAAAGUCGAUAAAAGGAAGUUAAGUAAACUUGCAAUUUGAAGUAUGAAAAUGUUCUGUGGUAAGAGAUUGGACAGCAAAUCUCCAAAGAGAAAACUCAUUAACAAUACACAAGCCCUGAAGAAGUGGAAGUUUUUCUGAAAAAUCGGUAUCAGUUCAACCUGAAAUUAACUGUGAGGUAGGAGCAGAUGAAUAGAAUGAUGUCUAAUGAAUGAAUGCCUGUUUUUAAAUAAAUGUCUGCAUUAAACUGACAUAGUUGUAUGUAUUUUCUAAUCCAUGCAAUACAAAUGCAAAUCUUCUCUUAGAAAAUGAACCCAAUCUUUUUAUUUAAUUCAAAGGCCGUCUUCCUUUUGAUGAAGCAUUUCUCAAAAAUAAAUAUUAACGGGUGAGAGGAAUGAGCAAAUCAAAUGACAGACAUAGCAAAGUGGGUACCUCAUCACAAAGGCUGGAAGUCAGUUCCUUCACAAUAGACCUAAAUCAGAUAAAGUGCAUGCUUCAAAAACAAUGAAAAAAAAUGAAGUUACCUGGUCAGAAUCUAGAUGGAGUCAAUCAAAAGUAGAUUUUCUUGUUUGUAUUUGUUCCUUUUCCUUUGCUUAGAGAAGGAUAGAAGAUCCAGUAAAACUGAUUACUUUCUAACUACAAAAGAUUAGUGUUAAUUUUGAAAAGAGUAAUUUGAAAUAAGGCAAGCAUAUUUUGCUAAAAUUAUCACUAGUGGGUAAUUCUUUCCGUGAAACAAAAAUUCAAUUUCACAGGAUUGCAUUUUUCUCAGUAAAGGAACAUAAUAAUUAAUUUCAAAUUUCUAUGUGGUUAAAUGGAGAAACAGUUUUUCUAGGUAGUGUAUACAAAAGCAGAUCAGACUCUACAUAACUGAGUCAGACAUCAUCACAUGCAAAAGUUCAGGCCAAUAAACAGGGGACGGGAAAGAAAAGACAACACAGACUCAGGAAAGGUGAUUGGCAGAUAUUUGUCCAUGAAAAUGUGAAAGGGCUCACACUGUCGGAGGGGUAUCUCCCAGGCAACCACACCUUAGGGAGAAAUGGCAACAAAUACAAAAUGCAGCUGCUAUAUCUGACAUAUUCAUAAUAUUCUAUUUCUUUAUUCAUUAGCUUGGCUG